GCGCCCUUAGCUCAGCUGGUAGAGCAACUGACUCUUAAUCAGUGGGUCGAAGGUUCAAAUCCUUCAGGGCGCA
This 73-nucleotide transfer RNA is filed under the name Omnitrophica bacterium RIFCSPLOWO2_01_FULL_50_24. RNAcentral's name for it is "tRNA-Lys". It matches the Rfam family "tRNA". Rfam says of the family: Transfer RNA (tRNA) molecules are approximately 80 nucleotides in length. Their secondary structure includes four short double-helical elements and three loops (D, anti-codon, and T loops). The record is from RNAcentral. Lineage: Bacteria; Pseudomonadati; Candidatus Omnitrophota.